This is a long non-coding RNA of Crotalus tigris (Tiger rattlesnake), 1310 nucleotides long. RefSeq lists it as uncharacterized. The transcript is spliced from 2 exons. NCBI's taxonomy places the organism in Eukaryota, Metazoa, Chordata, Lepidosauria, Squamata, Viperidae. The record is from RefSeq and is a predicted model, not a curated record.
GUCAGCCUACUCGUUAGCUGCACACCCAGGAAUUUGAUGCUGAUAACCAUCUCCACAGCAUUUCUCCCUGUUGCUGUUUGGACUGGACCCCCUCUGAAGUUUCUGCUAUCAACACAGUCUCGUUGAUCAUUUCAUCAAACGCGUGUAACUCUUUCUUGGGCAUUAAACAACAAAGAUGAGGCAAUGAUGAGACUGAAUGAUUAUUAGAGAUCAGGCACUAAUAUUAUUCUCCCCCCACCAUCUUGGGCCUCAGUGCAGAUUUGGCAGCCUGGAGAAACACAAAAUAUUGUUAGUUACCAUCAUGAAAGGAGGAUAGUUAGCUCUAUAACUCUUUCAUGAGGAACUUUAACUAUAUAGUAUUUUAAAUCAUGAUGUUCAUUUAGCCUUUGGAACAUGUACAGUUAAAAUUGUUUUUAAAUUUUGCCCUGAACUUUCCUCAAAACUUUACUAAUACAAUAGAUACUAAAGUUUAAGGAAGGAAGUAGGAGAUCCAGUGACACCAUUCAGCUAUGACUGCAACUCGUUUAUAAUUAAGCUUUAUGUUCCUGAAGAUUUGGGGCUUGAGUAAUUUCACCAGAAAUGCUGACAGAAUCGCAAUGAUGAAAGGGCUCCAAUUUGCAGAAAUAAAGAACAAGAGCUCUACUCGUAUGAAACAUAUAAUAAGGCUUCUGUAGAAGACACUAUGGCAAAUUGCAUGACUAGUAGGAACGUCUUUAUUCCAAGCAUACUUUGCUUUCAGAAGGUUGCCUCUGCAUUUUUAUUUGUGAUUACACUGGUCAUGUAGCUGGCCACUCCAAAAGCUAUUAUUUGCCAAAUUAGGCCAAUUCAAAGCAAAUGCUUCAUUCUCUACAUUGAAUUUAUUGUGCUAGAGAAAAAGAGAAAUGGCACACUAUUAGCUUCCUAUAUUAAGUUUUAUAGGAUUAUGGAAAUCUUUCCCACUUUAAAACUCCACUUGAACCAUGGCCUCCCACCUCAUAAUCACAAAGUGUUCUGAGAAAAGCUGAUGGAGAUGAGAUCAUCAUCCCCCAAGAUUUUCUUCCACCGCUUUCUUAGAUAAGUAGCAUGAUUAUAACACCCUGCUUCCAAUCCACAUCAUAGAUUCCCAGUAACACCUCUUCCAUUUACAGAUCAGUGUUUCUCAAAUUGUGAGAUCUAUCUUCCUUGGGGACAUGCACGGGAGGGUGGCGUUGUAUAAUGUUACAAUAAAUUCACCUUUUCCAAAACGAGUACCAUGGUGGUGGAGGAGGCACAAAUGCUGCCUUUUUAUUUUUUUAAUGUCUUUAUUAAAAAUAAAGUUUUGUUGCAUUGUG